GACGAACGCUGGCGGCGUGCCUAAUACAUGCAAGUAGAACGCACAGUUUAUACCGUAGCUUGCUACACCAUAGACUGUGAGUUGCGAACGGGUGAGUAACGCGUAGGUAACCUGCCUGGUAGCGGGGGAUAGCUAUUGGAAACGAUAGCUAAUACCGCAUAAUAUUGAUUAUUGCAUGAUAAUUGAUUGAAAGAUGCUAUUGCAUCACUGCCAGAUGGACCUGCGUUGUAUUAGCUAGUAGGUGAGGUAACGGCUCACCUAGGCGACGAUACAUAGCCGACCUGAGAGGGUGAUCGGCCACACUGGGACUGAGACACGGCCCAGACUCCUACGGGAGGCAGCAGUAGGGAAUCUUCGGCAAUGGACGAAAGUCUGACCGAGCAACGCCGCGGGAGUGAAGAAGGUUUUCGGAUCGUAAAGCUCUGUUGUAAGAGAGGAACGGGUGUGAGAGUGGAAAGUUCACACUGUGACGGUAUCUUACCAGAAAGGGACGGCUAACUACGUG
RNAcentral lists this ribosomal RNA (505 nucleotides) under uncultured bacterium. Its description in RNAcentral is "partial 16S ribosomal RNA". It matches the Rfam family "Bacterial small subunit ribosomal RNA", at positions 28 to 507 of the family's 1533-position model. The record is from RNAcentral.